CCUACGGGAGGCAGCAGUGAGGAAUAUUGGUCAAUGGGCGAGAGCCUGAACCAGCCAAGUCGCGUGAGGGAGUACUGCCCUAUGGGUUGUAAACCUCUUUUGUCGGGGAGCAAAAGCCGGACGUGUCCGGCUGUGAGAGUAACCGAAGAAAAAGCAUCGGCUAACUCCGUGCCAGCAGCAGCGGUAAUACGGAGGAUGCGAGCGUUAGCCGGAUUUAAUGGGUUUAAAGGGUGCGCAGGCGGAUUUUUAAGUCAGCGGUCAAAUCGUGGGGCUCAACCCCAUCCAGCCGUUGAAACUGGGGAUCUAGAGUGUGCGAGAGGUAUGCGGAAUGCGUGGUGUAGCGGUGAAAUGCAUAGAUAUCACGCAGAACCCCGAUUGCGAAGGCAGCAUACCGGUGCACAACUGACGCUGAGGCUCGAAAGCAUGGGUAGCGAACAGGAUUAGAUACCCGAGUAGUC
This 458-nucleotide ribosomal RNA is filed under the name uncultured bacterium. Its description in RNAcentral is "partial 16S ribosomal RNA". It matches the Rfam family "Bacterial small subunit ribosomal RNA", at positions 338 to 795 of the family's 1533-position model. The record is from RNAcentral.